Molecule: ribosomal RNA, 496 nt
Filed under: uncultured bacterium
Lineage: Bacteria
Description: bacterial SSU rRNA
Rfam family: Bacterial small subunit ribosomal RNA
Source: RNAcentral
AGAGUUUGAUCAUGGCUCAGAUUGAACGCUGGCGGCGGGCUUAACACAUGCAAGUCGAACGGUAACGGGUUGAAAGCUUGCUUUCAAUGCUGACGAGUGGCGGACGGGUGAGUAAGGCUUGGGGAUCUGGCUUUUGGAGGGGGAUAACCAUUGGAAACGAUGGCUAAUACCGCAUAGAAUCGAGAGAUGAAAGGGGUGGGGAACCACUUGCCAAGGGAUGAACCCAAGUGAGAUUAGGUAGUUGGUGGGGUAAGGGCCUACCAAGCCGACGAUCUCUAGCUGGUCUGAGAGGAUGGCCAGCCACACUGGGACUGAGACACGGCCCAGACUCCUACGGGAGGCAGCAGUGGGGAAUAUUGCGCAAUGGGGGGAACCCUGACGCAGCCAUGCCGCGUGAAUGAAGAAGGCCUUCGGGUUGUAAAGUUCUUUCGGUGGUGAGGAAGGUUAGGAUGUUAAUAGCAUACUGAUUUGACGUUAGCCACAGAAGAAGCACCGG